This 755-nucleotide ribosomal RNA is filed under the name human gut metagenome. RNAcentral's name for it is "bacterial SSU rRNA". It matches the Rfam family "Bacterial small subunit ribosomal RNA", at positions 500 to 1253 of the family's 1533-position model. The record is from RNAcentral.
ACUACGUGCCAGCAGCCGCGGUAAUACGUAGGGUGCAAGCGUUAUCCGGAAUUAUUGGGCGUAAAGGGCUCGUAGGCGGUUCGUCGCGUCCGGUGUGAAAGUCCAUCGCUUAACGGUGGAUCCGCGCCGGGUACGGGCGGGCUUGAGUGCGGUAGGGGAGACUGGAAUUCCCGGUGUAACGGUGGAAUGUGUAGAUAUCGGGAAGAACACCAAUGGCGAAGGCAGGUCUCUGGGCCGUUACUGACGCUGAGGAGCGAAAGCGUGGGGAGCGAACAGGAUUAGAUACCCUGGUAGUCCACGCCGUAAACGGUGGAUGCUGGAUGUGGGGACCAUUCCACGGUCUCCGUGUCGGAGCCAACGCGUUAAGCAUCCCGCCUGGGGAGUACGGCCGCAAGGCUAAAACUCAAAGAAAUUGACGGGGGCCCGCACAAGCGGCGGAGCAUGCGGAUUAAUUCGAUGCAACGCGAAGAACCUUACCUGGGCUUGACAUGUUCCCGACGGUCGUAGAGAUGCGGCUUCCCUUCGGGGCGGGUUCACAGGUGGUGCAUGGUCGUCGUCAGCUCGUGUCGUGAGAUGUUGGGUUAAGUCCCGCAACGAGCGCAACCCUCGCCCUGUGUUGCCAGCACGUCGUGGUGGGAACUCACGGGGGACCGCCGGGGUCAACUCGGAGGAAGGUGGGGAUGACGUCAGAUCAUCAUGCCCCUUACGUCCAGGGCUUCACGCAUGCUACAAUGGCCGGUACAACGGGAUGCGAC